AUGCCUACGGGGGGCAGCAGUGGGGAAUAUUGCACAAUGGGGGAAACCCUGAUGCAGCGACGCCGCGUGAGUGAAGAAGUAUUUCGGUAUGUAAAGCUCUAUCAGCAGGGAAGAAAAUGACGGUACCUGACUAAGAAGCCCCGGCUAACUACGUGCCAGCAGCCGCGGUAAUACGUAGGGGGCAAGCGUUAUCCGGAUUUACUGGGUGUAAAGGGAGCGUAGACGGAGGAGCAAGUCUGAUGUGAAAAUCCGGGGCCCAACCCCGGAACUGCUCUGGAAACUGUGCGG
RNAcentral lists this ribosomal RNA (288 nucleotides) under uncultured bacterium. Its description in RNAcentral is "partial 16S ribosomal RNA". It matches the Rfam family "Bacterial small subunit ribosomal RNA", at positions 335 to 640 of the family's 1533-position model. The record is from RNAcentral.